This is a long non-coding RNA of Eriocheir sinensis (Chinese mitten crab), 5761 nucleotides long. RefSeq lists it as uncharacterized. The transcript has 6 exons. Lineage: Eukaryota; Metazoa; Arthropoda; Malacostraca; Decapoda; Varunidae. The record is from RefSeq and is a predicted model, not a curated record.
GGAAGCGAGCCUUGGCGCCAUUCCCGGGCCGACCUCCAUUCCAAGCAGACGCACGGCAAGACGCUCCUCACGAUGGCGCCAAAUAUUCACGAUUAUAACGCCGCAGCCCGGUUAUUAGGCAAUAGCACUACUUAAUUAAGUUGCCCUGACACAACAUGUAAGGGGCAGAAACAGAAGAUUGCAGCACCCAAUACCUACCACGACAUGCUACUACACACAAUACUAGCACAGCCAUACCAAGAAAACAAGGUGGACAUUUUAGAACUAUUGUUAUGUAAAGAAGCAAUAAGACUGUGAAGUCAAGAAAGACCUGAUCAGAAGAAUGGGGAAGAAGAGAAGAAGAAAAGAAAACUGACCUCUUUUACAAUACACAGGUUACUGGACCCCUCCCUUUUACACAGACUACUACUACUACUGCUACUACUACUACUACUACUACUACUACUACUACCAUAUUGCAGCUUUAAUCAAGAAACUUGAAACAUGCAUAAACAGAAGGAAGGAAAUUAAAUAUAUGCAAGAAUUUUGGAAGAAUCGCUUAAAAUCCGAGAAGAGACGGCAGCACUCAACCAGGCACAAGAAAAUCAAGAAGUGGAGGCUCCGAACUGCACUGAACUGAACUGUAAACUUUAUCAGAAGGGAGGAUAUUAAAUAUACUCAAGAAUUUUAGAAGAAUCGCUUAAAAAUCAGAGAAGAGAAGGCAGCACAACCAAGCACAAGAAGACCAUUUAGAGGGGCAAAGGCAACCCUCCGAACAGAACUGGAAACAAACAGAAGGGAGGAAAUUAAAUAUACUCAAGACUUUUAGAAGAAUCGCUUAAAAUUGGAGAAGAAAAGGCAGCACAACCAGGCACAAGAAGACCAUUUAGAGGGGCCGCUGCAAAGGCACUCCCUCCGAACUACACUGCACUGAACUGACCUGGUUACGGCGCCUGUACAAGUGACCCGGGAUGGAGUAUUGGCGGCAGGGCAGCUCUACGAAAGCUGCUGUGGGAGUGCUGCCCUCCACAGCAAGCAAGGGGCUGCCCUGCCCAGACCACAGCAAGAGGAGGAAGAGCUCUGCAUUACUAAGUUAAGUACCUCACUAUGACAUUCUGAGGGUUUGGCCUCAUUUUUGCCUUCUAUUCAAAACUUUUUACUUUCUAAUGAACCUUAAUCUUUUUCUCAGCCUGCCUCCUCCUCCUCCUCCUCCUUCAACUUCCUUUACCUCCUUGUGUGAAUCUGUCCGUCCCGAGAUCCGGCGAGACCAUCCCGACGUCGUAACACCCGUUUGGGAGUGGGGGGACUCAUGAAGCUGGGGGCGGCAGCCCUAAGGUGGGGAGGGUUGCGCCGACACCUCCACUCCGUUUCGGCGGAAUGUGGCUGGCUAGGGUGGCCUGAACCACUGUCUGGGUUGUUUGUCGUUCAGUCGGAUUGAGGAUCUGCCUCCCUUGAGGUGCACAUGUCAUAGUGAUGGCAGAAGAGAGAGUGAGUGAAGCUGAUGUCAUCCCGACGUCGUAACACCGUUGGGCGGGGCGGGGCUCUCAUGUCAAGUCUCCCCGCGGUGCACAUGUCACAGAGGUGCAAAUAGCAUGGCCUUCUUUCCUAUCUUUUCCCCCUCCUCCUCCUCCACCCCCUCCCCCACACACACCUCCUGCUGUUAUAUCGUCACCCUCAUAAAGUAAUUGCCUAAGUCAUUUUUCAGUGAUUUCCAUUUUUGUUAAGUUGUCUUAGAUAUUCAGGGUUUGAGUGUUCUAGAAUUGCCUUUUUAUUUCUGCCUAAAUCUUAAGCCAAAUGAGAUGAUGACGUUCUCUUCUUGAAAAAUAGAAAAUAACGACUUGGGCGGUUUCUUUACGAAGGUGGCGAGAUUGUAAUAGGUUUUGCACCCUCUAUUUAGGGAUGUGCACUAAUUUUUGUCUCUUCUCUUCCCCUCCUCCUCCCCUGGCUGUCCGGGGAACGGAGGAGGAGCACUAGGACGAGGAGGUGAAGGGAGGCGGAGGGAGAGACGACUCGAGCACGUGGAGGCAAGAGACAAGAAGCAGAGACGCAGGAACAGAAAGCUGCUGUGGGAGUGCUGCCCUCCACAGCAAGCAAGGGGCUGCCCUGCCCAGACCACAGCAAGAGGAGGAAGAGCUCUGCAUUACUAAGUUAAGUACCUCACUAUGACAUUCUGAGGGUUUGGCUUCAUUUUUGCCUUCUAUUAAAAACUUUUUACUUUCUAACGAACCUUAAUCUUUUCUCAGCCUGCCUCCUCCUCCUCCUCCUCCUUCAACUUCCUUUACCUCCUUGUGUGAAUCUGUCCGUCCCGAGAUCCGGCGAGACCAUCCCGACGUCGUAACACCCGUUUGGGAGUGGGGGGACUCAUGAAGCUGGGGGCGGCAGCCCUAAGGUGGGGACGGUUGCGCCGACACCUCCACUCCGUUUCGGCGGAAUGUGGCUGGCUAGGGUGGCCUGAACCACUGUCUGGGUUGUUUGUCGUUCAGUCGGAUUGAGGAUCUGCCUCCCUUGAGGUGCACAUGUCAUAGUGAUGGCAGAAGAGAGAGUGAGUGAAGCUGAUGUCAUCCCGACGUCGUAACACCGUUGGGCGGGGCGGGGCUCUCAUGUCAAGUCUCCCCGCGGUGCACAUGUCACAGAGGUGCAAACAGCAUGGCCUUCUUUCCUAUCUUUUCCCCCUCCUCCUCCUCCACCCCCUCCCCCACACACACCUCCUGCUGUUAUAUCGUCACCCUCAUAAAGUAAUUGCCUAAGUCAUUUUUCAGUGAUUUCCAUUUUUGUUAAGUUGUCUUAGAUAUUCAGGGUUUGAGUGUUCUAGAAUUGCCUUUUUAUUUCUGCCUAAAUCUUAAGCCAAAUGAGAUGAUGACGUUCUCUUCUUGAAAAAUAGAAAAUAACGACUUGGGCGGUUUCUUUACGAAGGUGGCGAGAUUGUAAUAGGUUUUGCACCCUCUGUUUAGGGAUGUGCACUAAUUUUUGUCUCUUCUCUUCCCCUCCUCCUCCCCUGGCUGGCCGGGGAACGGAGGAGGAGCACUAGGACGAGGAGGUGAAGGGAGGUGCAGGGAGAGACGACUCGAGCACGUGGAGGCAAGAGACAAGAAGCAGAGACGCAGGAACGGAAAGGCAGCCAGAUGGUCGAUGCUGUGAAGAGGAGGAAGAUGACUGCAGGAGGCGGUGUGUGUGUGUGUCGGGGAAGGAGAUAACGGCACCACCCUCACACACAACGGGUUAAGGCCUGCAAGAGAGCCUAGUCAAUGAAGAGGAAAAGAAGACAAGAAUAAAGAAUAAAGAAGACAAGAAGAAAGAAAAAAGAAGAGGCAAAACAGGAGGAGGGGAUUUUUUUUCUGUCUAUACCUGAGGUGUCAUGAAUUUACUAAGGGUGUAUUUAAGUCUGAUAUCACGCGGUGCAUUUAAAUAAGGUAUAUUUAACGGUACCAGUGUGUAGCCUACUUUUGCCUGGAGUUGGAGACGGUAAAAUGCUCUCCGACUCCUUUAUUGUGGUGCUGUGUGGUUUGUUUACUGUGGUGCGAUGUGGGUCAUUUACUGUGGUGCGGUGUGGCUCGUUAACUGAGGUGAGGUAUGGUUUGUUUAUUGUGGUGCGGUAUGGUUCGUUUACUGUGGUGCGGUGUGGCUCGUUAAUUAAGGUGAGGUGUGGUUCAUUUAUUGUGGUGCGGUGUGGUUCGUUAAUUAAGGUGAGGUAUGGUUCGUUUACUGUGGUGCGGUAUGGUUCGUUUACUGUGGUGCGGUGUGGCUCGUUAAUUAAGGUGAGGUGUGGUUCAUUUAUUGUGGUGCGGUGUGGCGUUGCGGGCUUUACUUUCCCUACCACUGCACGGUGGAGUCAAAUUUUUUUAUAUCCGACUCCACACCUGUGUUAGAGUGUAAGAGUAUUGAUGGAAUAUAUUUAAGGUGCUGGGGGAUACUGUGGUGCGCUUGUCGCGGCAACCCAUUCUGCUUCUGCAUAACCCGUUCUGCUGCAUGACGCAUAGCAACCCGUGUUUUUUCCGCUGUUGCAACGACCCUUACUGCUGCAUGACGCAUAGCAACUCGUGUUUUUUUCUGCUGCCGCAACGACUCGUACUGCUAACGCAUAAUGACCUGUGCUGCUUCUGCUAUUGUAACAACUCUUACUGCAAUAACUUACUGCUGCUUCCAUUUAAAAACGUAUAAACGCAUAAACCCGCUGUGUUGCCAACUUGUCAACAACCCAACUAAUGAAUUUUCUGAUCAAAGAUCAAAGAGAGGAUUAGGCCUUCAGGGGACACCUCUUAAAUAAAAACGCGCCUGGGACUUUUACCUCAGAGGUGGUGUGGAAAAAAAGUCCAGUCACGAAAAUAAGUAUCUUAUACUCCAUGAAAGUGUCUCAGUCUUAUGAGAACGCAAAGGUUGAGAGGGCUCAAACAUUCUGUUACACUCCCAUGUUAGCAGUAAGGGUACUAAAUUUUGAUCUCUGUACAAAACAACCAAAUAAUAAGGAAAAGAAAGUUGAAUAAAAUGUGUGCCUGCAUUCUCCGUCAGCAGCGUAGACGUAACAAGGGUUGAAAAAAAUGAGUUAUUUAAUACAGCGGCUGGCCAACGUCUUGACCCCAGAGGCUUUGUGUUUGUCUCCGCGUCCUCCGCACUACACUGCACAGAAUCUGGCGAGCCUGGGUUGUGACAGCUAUUUCCCAAAGCCUCCAAGGAUACCAGUCAGGCUUAUGAGUGUUUUUUGUGUUGUUGGGGAAGCCUUGUCUAGGCUCGCAAAUCUACACCUGGAAAUACUACUACCAACACAACCCAUAUGAAAGCCUUUCCUAAAACAUAAAACCUCUACCAGUGCCUUACCAGACGGCACCACUGAUAUUAGUGUCCCUCAUAUGUUGUGUCAUUGAGGGAGUGUUUGGGUCUAUUAUUUGUUCUAUAUAUAUAAGAUAUUGAAUUUGCACUUAUUUUUUAUACGGAUGUUAGUGUCCCUCAUAUGUUGUGUCAUUGAGGGAGUGUUUGGGUCUUUCAUUUUUUUGUUUUGAUGCCCCUUUAUGGAUCUAAAUAAUGACAUCCACCUUAAAAUAAAUGUAUGUGUCUGUGGUCAUCCCAAAGCUGAAGGUUGGUAUCUACUCCACUGUUUUUCAUGUUUUCUCGGACAGUUCAUAUUAUUAGCAAAUGUUUUUACCCGUCCGCUGUGAUUGGCAUGGAUUUCGCCUUCACUGGUAACCUGGUAACAUGUACUCCCAAAUCAUUCUUUGUCUCUGUGGUGGAUAGUGGAGUGUUUCCCAUGUGGUAUUGGUGUGCUGGAUAUCCCUUCACUGGUAGCCUGGUAACAUAUGUACUCCCAGAUCAUUCUCUGCCUCUGUGGUGGAUAGUGGAGUGCUUCCCAUGUGGUACUGGUGUGGUGGAUAUCCCCUCCCAAGGUGCAGGACUAUAUAUUUUUCUUCACUGAAUUGUAGCAGCCACUUUUUGCUCCACUCCUGUAGCUUGGUGAUGUCUUCUUGUAGGAAAUCCACAGUGAAGGGUUUAAGCAAGUGAGAUUUUACCCUCCCAUGACCAGUGUACAGAAGGGACCCUGUAGUUGUUUGAAGGAAUAUUACCAGAUUGAUUAAUUAGAUGGUACAUAUUAGAUUAGGGCAAAAUAUGAGAAUGGGGGCAGGAGACUGGCUUCAACUAGAGGGUAUAAUAUAGAUUGACCCUGUAGUUGUUUGAACGAAUAUUACUGGACUUGGGAGAGAGGGUGGAGGGAGGAGGAGAAAUAUUGAUAAUAGACGAUAGUGAUCCUUUAUAUGGUGAUGAAGGGAAUGGUGAUGGGAAGGUGAUAGGUACU